This 1539-nucleotide ribosomal RNA is filed under the name Klebsiella pneumoniae. Its description in RNAcentral is "bacterial SSU rRNA". It matches the Rfam family "Bacterial small subunit ribosomal RNA". The record is from RNAcentral. RNAcentral also lists the same sequence under 1 other name. Lineage: Bacteria; Pseudomonadati; Pseudomonadota; Gammaproteobacteria; Enterobacterales; Enterobacteriaceae.
AAAUUGAAGAGUUUGAUCAUGGCUCAGAUUGAACGCUGGCGGCAGGCCUAACACAUGCAAGUCGAGCGGUAGCACAGAGAGCUUGCUCUCGGGUGACGAGCGGCGGACGGGUGAGUAAUGUCUGGGAAACUGCCUGAUGGAGGGGGAUAACUACUGGAAACGGUAGCUAAUACCGCAUAACGUCGCAAGACCAAAGUGGGGGACCUUCGGGCCUCAUGCCAUCAGAUGUGCCCAGAUGGGAUUAGCUAGUAGGUGGGGUAACGGCUCACCUAGGCGACGAUCCCUAGCUGGUCUGAGAGGAUGACCAGCCACACUGGAACUGAGACACGGUCCAGACUCCUACGGGAGGCAGCAGUGGGGAAUAUUGCACAAUGGGCGCAAGCCUGAUGCAGCCAUGCCGCGUGUGUGAAGAAGGCCUUCGGGUUGUAAAGCACUUUCAGCGGGGAGGAAGGCGAUAAGGUUAAUAACCUUGUCGAUUGACGUUACCCGCAGAAGAAGCACCGGCUAACUCCGUGCCAGCAGCCGCGGUAAUACGGAGGGUGCAAGCGUUAAUCGGAAUUACUGGGCGUAAAGCGCACGCAGGCGGUCUGUCAAGUCGGAUGUGAAAUCCCCGGGCUCAACCUGGGAACUGCAUUCGAAACUGGCAGGCUAGAGUCUUGUAGAGGGGGUAGAAUUCCAGGUGUAGCGGUGAAAUGCGUAGAGAUCUGGAGGAAUACCGGUGGCGAAGGCGGCCCCCUGGACAAAGACUGACGCUCAGGUGCGAAAGCGUGGGGAGCAAACAGGAUUAGAUACCCUGGUAGUCCACGCCGUAAACGAUGUCGAUUUGGAGGUUGUGCCCUUGAGGCGUGGCUUCCGGAGCUAACGCGUUAAAUCGACCGCCUGGGGAGUACGGCCGCAAGGUUAAAACUCAAAUGAAUUGACGGGGGCCCGCACAAGCGGUGGAGCAUGUGGUUUAAUUCGAUGCAACGCGAAGAACCUUACCUGGUCUUGACAUCCACAGAACUUUCCAGAGAUGGAUUGGUGCCUUCGGGAACUGUGAGACAGGUGCUGCAUGGCUGUCGUCAGCUCGUGUUGUGAAAUGUUGGGUUAAGUCCCGCAACGAGCGCAACCCUUAUCCUUUGUUGCCAGCGGUCCGGCCGGGAACUCAAAGGAGACUGCCAGUGAUAAACUGGAGGAAGGUGGGGAUGACGUCAAGUCAUCAUGGCCCUUACGACCAGGGCUACACACGUGCUACAAUGGCAUAUACAAAGAGAAGCGACCUCGCGAGAGCAAGCGGACCUCAUAAAGUAUGUCGUAGUCCGGAUUGGAGUCUGCAACUCGACUCCAUGAAGUCGGAAUCGCUAGUAAUCGUAGAUCAGAAUGCUACGGUGAAUACGUUCCCGGGCCUUGUACACACCGCCCGUCACACCAUGGGAGUGGGUUGCAAAAGAAGUAGGUAGCUUAACCUUCGGGAGGGCGCUUACCACUUUGUGAUUCAUGACUGGGGUGAAGUCGUAACAAGGUAACCGUAGGGGAACCUGCGGUUGGAUCACCUCCUUA